GUGUUGUCCAUAAAAGCUACUGUACAUUGCUCAGGAUUGUUUUUAAACUCUUGUGCGUGUGACAGCGGCUAUUUUGGCUCAACGAUAGCGACAGG
Molecule: microRNA precursor, 95 nt
Filed under: Folsomia candida
Lineage: Eukaryota; Metazoa; Arthropoda; Collembola; Entomobryomorpha; Isotomidae
Description: mir-210 microRNA precursor family
Rfam family: mir-210 microRNA precursor family
Source: Rfam by way of RNAcentral